AAGGCUGGGACAUCCGGUCUUUUUCCACCACUCCGGCCAAUUCAAACUUCAAAGUCUCUCAAGCAACCGCCGCUGGGCAGGGGCAUGGAAAAUCAACUACACAGGAUCUUGGAGAACUAGAAGCCUUUCCAUCAGGAUUCAUGCCUGGGCAUAGGCACCAAUAUAACCACCAAGGCAAUCCCUGGGUUAAGAAUGUCUCACAGCAAAAGAAGGAAUUCCUCUGCAACUUGCUUUAUUGAAACAUCCAGAAGAAGUAACUCCAGUGAAUCUACAAGAAUUAUAACAUAUAUGGGCAGGUCAAGAUCAUGGAGCCACUUAAU
Molecule: non-coding RNA, 320 nt
Organism: Notechis scutatus (mainland tiger snake)
Lineage: Eukaryota; Metazoa; Chordata; Lepidosauria; Squamata; Elapidae
Source: RefSeq, a predicted model, not a curated record